This is a long non-coding RNA of Octopus bimaculoides (California two-spot octopus), 452 nucleotides long. NCBI's taxonomy places the organism in Eukaryota, Metazoa, Mollusca, Cephalopoda, Octopoda, Octopodidae. The record is from RefSeq and is a predicted model, not a curated record.
UAACCUGUUGAUGUUGAAAUUUCAAUGAAGGAACUUUGGAUCUAGGUUAGAAACCGGUUCUUUCUCUGUUGGCAAGAAAUCUUGAAACAAACUGAAUAAUGACAUACAUACAUACAUACAUACAUACAUGCAUGCAUACAUACAUACAUGCAUGCAUACAUACAUACAUACAUACAUACAUACAUACAUACAUACAUACAUACACACACACACACAUACUCAACUUGUGUAUUUAUCAAUGUUCUCGUUAUUAGACUGUACUGUAUAAAUAUGGCUACAUGCAAAAGCCUUCGGGGAGAGACAAAGACAGGGAAGCGACGAAAAAGGAAAUGCAAGAAGCUAUCAAGAAAUACCAAGCAUUCAAUGGAUUGGAGGUAACUGGUGUCUUUGACGAAGAGACGAUUAAGAAAAUGGGUUCGCCUCGUUGCGGGCUUCCAGAUUUUGAACCAGGG